Molecule: non-coding RNA, 355 nt
Organism: Macaca mulatta (Rhesus monkey)
Lineage: Eukaryota; Metazoa; Chordata; Mammalia; Primates; Cercopithecidae
Source: RefSeq, a predicted model, not a curated record
GAUUUGUUCCGUUGCCAGUGGCCAUAAGUGGAAGAUCCGCUUUUGAACUGGAAAACCACUCAAACCUUUUGAAGUUCGUCCUCAGCAAAGUCCAAUCAGAGGAAAUGUGUUCGCUAACUGUGGCCAGCUGAACAGAAGGCAUUGAGAGAGAAACAGCCAGGUCCCAAGAGGAUCCUCUGCAUAGACUGGAGGGAAGAGGCAGCUGAGUGUAGACACACAAUGAUGCUGGGCACCCCAGUGAAUGCUCUGUGCCCGGACGGAUUCGAUGGAUAUUUCUUCCUGCGGUGGAAUGGGGUGGUUGUGAGAUUUCUUGGAUGAAAUUGAUUCUCUUUGAGCCUCUCACCCCGAAUGCAGC